UUGUCUCUCUUGAGUGGAUCCUGAGUACGACGGAGCACGUGAAAUUCCGUCGGAAUCUGGGAGGACCAUCUCCUAAGGCUAAAUACUCUCUAGUGACCGAUAGUGAACCAGUACCGUGAGGGAAAGGUGAAAAGCACCCCGGAAGGGGAGUGAAAUAGAACCUGAAACCGUGUGCUUACAAGUAGUCAGAGCCCGUUAAUGGGUGAUGGCGUGCCUUUUGUAGAAUGAACCGGCGAGUUACGAUUUGAUGCAAGGUUAAGCAGUAAAUGUGGAGCCGUAGCGAAAGCGAGUCUGAAUAGGGCGUUUAGUAUUUGGUCGUAGACCCGAAACCAGGUGAUCUACCCUUGGUCAGGUUGAAGUUCAGGUAACACUGAAUGGAGGACCGAACCGACUUACGUUGAAAAGUGAGCGGAUGAACUGAGGGUAGCGGAGAAAUUCCAAUCGAACCUGGAGAUAGCUGGUUCUCUCCGAAAUAGCUUUAGGGCUAGCCUCAAGUGAUGAUUAUUGGAGGUAGAGCACUGUUUGGACGAGGGGCCCCUCUCGGGUUACCGAAUUCAGACAAACUCCGAAUGCCAAUUAAUUUAACUUGGGAGUCAGAACAUGGGUGAUAAGGUCCGUGUUCGAAAGGGAAACAGCCCAGACCACCAGCUAAGGUCCCAAAAUAUAUGUUAAGUGGAAAAGGAUGUGGCGUUGCCCAGACAACUAGGAUGUUGGCUUAGAAGCAGCCAUCAUUUAAAGAGUGCGUAAUAGCUCACUAGUCGAGUGACACUGCGCCGAAAAUGUACCGGGGCUAAACAUAUUACCGAAGCUGUGGAUUGUCCUUUGGACAAUGGUAGGAGAGCGUUCUAAGGGCGUUGAAGCAUGAUCGUAAGGACAUGUGGAGCGCUUAGAAGUGAGAAUGCCGGUGUGAGUAGCGAAAGACGGGUGAGAAUCCCGUCCACCGAUUGACUAAGGUUUCCAGAGGAAGGCUCGUCCGCUCUGGGUUAGUCGGGUCCUAAGCUGAGGCCGACAGGCGUAGGCGAUGGAUAACAGGUUGAUAUUCCUGUACCACCUAUAAUCGUUUUAAUCGAUGGGGGGACGCAGUAGGAUAGGCGAAGCGUGCGAUUGGAUUGCACGUCUAAGCAGUAAGGCUGAGUAUUAGGCAAAUCCGGUACUCGUUAAGGCUGAGCUGUGAUGGGGAGAAGACAUUGUGUCUUCGAGUCGUUGAUUUCACACUGCCGAGAAAAGCCUCUAGAUAGAAAAUAGGUGCCCGUACCGCAAACCGACACAGGUAGUCAAGAUGAGAAUUCUAAGGUGAGCGAGCGAACUCUCGUUAAGGAACUCGGCAAAAUGACCCCGUAACUUCGGGAGAAGGGGUGCUCUUUAGGGUUAACGCCCAGAAGAGCCGCAGUGAAUAGGCCCAAGCGACUGUUUAUCAAAAACACAGGUCUCUGCUAAACCGUAAGGUGAUGUAUAGGGGCUGACGCCUGCCCGGUGCUGGAAGGUUAAGAGGAGUGGUUAGCUUCUGCGAAGCUACGAAUCGAAGCCCCAGUAAACGGCGGCCGUAACUAUAACGGUCCUAAGGUAGCGAAAUUC
This 1575-nucleotide ribosomal RNA is filed under the name Staphylococcus aureus. Its description in RNAcentral is "partial 23S ribosomal RNA". It matches the Rfam family "Bacterial large subunit ribosomal RNA", at positions 388 to 1967 of the family's 2925-position model. The record is from RNAcentral. Lineage: Bacteria; Bacillati; Bacillota; Bacilli; Caryophanales; Staphylococcaceae.